AAUCCUUCCUUUUUAUCCACAUAUUGCUCCCAGUAGAGUCCUUGAAUGUACUUGGAGGCUGAGUUUCACAAACCUAGCAUUCUGCUGCACUUAGCAACAGUAAGUUCAACAGCACAAUUGUGUAUUUGUUCUCCUUUAGCUGCUGCACUCUCUUUGUUUCUCUCCUGCUCCCCGGAAUUGUAUCCCUAAUAAAGUGCAAGUGAAUAGCUCCAGAAGCCUCAGCUCUGCUUUCUGCUGAACCCAAGUUAUAAAUGAUGUGAACAUGGAAAAGCUCUAAGGCAGCCUAGGAAAAGGCAGACAAGAAACCAUCAUGAAUGGAUACUGCAUGAGCAGAGAUUGUCAAGAAAACGGGAUGGUAAUUUGCAUAGGUCCACAAGGCGAACAUUGAUUUGAAGUGUUCCUGUGAAUGGCCAAUAGACAGGACAUACAAACAGACAGUAAAUCAUAAAGUGAAGAAUGGUGUCUAAGAUGGAGUAUGAGCCUGGGGAAGUACAUAAAAUAAUGCCAUGUCAAGGUCAUAAGAACUUUGACAGUCAGGGAGAUGUCAAAUAGAAAACUGAUUCAUAAAUCCUGAAAUAAAAUAUUACUACCUAAACUCUAAAUCAGAUGGCCACCAGGUCAAAAAUAAAUUACAAGGUGAAUCUAAUGUAGAUAUAUAAUUAAAAAUUGGCCAUGUCGAUGAGGCAAGAAAUUUUAGCAAUUACAGAAAUGAAGGUGUCAGGGCUCAGAAAACGACAUGCCAAAUUAUGGCACUUUAGUGUGCUGAGUACUCUGAACUAAAGGAGAUUGGAAAGCCUCAGAAGCAAAGCCGCUCUAUCUCCCACCUUUCUGUGUAGGUGUAUAGUAGAUGCAUCUGACAGCAACAAUUUAAGCAUACCCUGAGAAAGACCCUCAAGUCUAAGAAGAAUGUGUGUUUGGAGCUCUGAGCUAAGAAAUCCAGGAGUGGCAAACCUAGAGAUUCUCUCCUUGUCUGUGAAGGACAUACGAACCCCCUGGCCCAUGCCUUGGAAUGCAGGCCAUACAGGGGAUUAAGGUCCUUUGUUUUGGGUUAUAUGGAGGUUGCUAGGUGGAAGGUGGUAGCAGUUUUUCGGUCCGGCCCACCACCACUGGACUGCCCCAUAUGUAAGUCUUCAAUAAACCCUAUGUGUGUUUUGCUGGUUCCAGAUCUCCUCUAUUCUUCUGCCUCUAGGACAUGAUGCUAUCCCUGUUGGAGUCAGUAGGGGUCUGGCACAACAGUAGGAGAUGGCCAUAAAGAAAUUCUCUGACCUACCUUGUCUGACAGUAAGUCAUAAGAUCCUCAUUCCAGAGGGGUCCUGGGAGAAAGGAAUGCUACACAGAGGUCAAGGAGAAGCCAAACAGGGGUAUUAUCCCACUCUGUAGUUUAGCAUCACAAUUAAUUUAAGUGAGGUUAAAGAAACACCAUGUUUUUCAUGUUCUUGACACCCCAUAGCCCUAGUCCUUCUUUUCAGAACUGUGUUAACAACAAAGUUAUUCUGCCACCUAAAGAGCAAGUCUCCUUUUCAAAUUUAAACUGUAGGCUGUUGUUUCUUCUAUCUCUCUAUGCUUAUUAUUUCUAACUGUCUGACCUGGAGCCCCAUAGCCUUGGACUAGCCAAGCGCUGACUCAGGAAAGGGAAACAAGAACAGGAGGCCUGAGUUUUCCCAGGAGCAGAAAGCACUGAAGAUUAGAAAGGCCUUUGUCAUCUUUGUUAUGUGUAAUUUGACUAAAACUACUUAAAUAAAAAAGAACUGGGGACUUCA
Macaca mulatta (Rhesus monkey) is the source of this 1760-nucleotide long non-coding RNA. RefSeq lists it as uncharacterized. The record is from RefSeq and is a predicted model, not a curated record. NCBI's taxonomy places the organism in Eukaryota, Metazoa, Chordata, Mammalia, Primates, Cercopithecidae.